Molecule: ribosomal RNA, 479 nt
Filed under: uncultured bacterium
Lineage: Bacteria
Description: bacterial SSU rRNA
Rfam family: Bacterial small subunit ribosomal RNA
Source: RNAcentral
AUUGAACGCUGGCGGCAUGCCUUACACAUGCAAGUCGAACGGCAGCACGGGAGCAAUCCUGGUGGCGAGUGGCGAACGGGUGAGUAAUAUAUCGGAACGUGCCCAGUCGUGGGGGAUAACGCAGCGAAAGCUGUGCUAAUACCGCAUACGAUCUCUGGAUGAAAGCGGGGGACCUGUAAGGGCCUCGCGCGAUUGGAGCGGCCGAUAUCAGAUUAGCUAGUUGGUGGGGUAAAAGCUCACCAAGGCGACGAUCUGUAGCUGGUCUGAGAGGACGACCAGCCACACUGGAACUGAGACACGGUCCAGACUCCUACGGGAGGCAGCAGUGGGGAAUUUUGGACAAUGGGCGCAAGCCUGAUCCAGCAAUGCCGCGUGCAGGAUGAAGGCCUUCGGGUUGUAAACUGCUUUUGUACGGAACGAAACGGUCCUUUCUAAUAAAGAGGGCUAAUGACGGUACCGUAAGAAUAAGCACCGGCUAA